GCCUGCAUGGUAUAUUGGUUUGAACGUUGGACUACAACUCUGAAGACCAGGGUUCAAAUCCCUGCUCAGCCA
Molecule: transfer RNA, 72 nt
Filed under: Phrynosoma platyrhinos (Desert horned lizard)
Lineage: Eukaryota; Metazoa; Chordata; Lepidosauria; Squamata; Phrynosomatidae
Description: tRNA-OTHER
Rfam family: tRNA
About the family: Transfer RNA (tRNA) molecules are approximately 80 nucleotides in length.
Source: RNAcentral